UGUUCCUUGGAAAGCUGAACAACAUGAGUGAAAACUCUAU
This is a small nucleolar RNA of Cercocebus atys (sooty mangabey), 40 nucleotides long. Its record names the gene SNORD116. It matches the Rfam family "Small nucleolar RNA SNORD116". From Rfam's summary of the family: HBII-85 is a member of the C/D class of snoRNAs, which contain the C (UGAUGA) and D (CUGA) box motifs. HBII-85 is encoded in a tandemly repeated array with another C/D snoRNA, HBII-52, in the Prader-Willi syndrome (PWS) region of chromosome 15. NCBI's taxonomy places the organism in Eukaryota, Metazoa, Chordata, Mammalia, Primates, Cercopithecidae. The record is from Ensembl.